GGUUACCAGGCUCCUCGAACUUGGAGAGGAGCUAGAGGUGCACCUUGUUUAUGCCAUCACUCAAGAGCAACUGAGGUUUCUGAUGUCCUGUCCUUUCAGCGUGUCUCAGAUGGCAGAUAUUCUACAUGUGUCCCGAUCAACACUCAAAUGUUGUCUAAGACACUUCAAUCUGUCACAUGCACCGUUAUAUUCUGACAUGUCAGACUUGGCUCUGGAUGAAAAGAUUAAGGACUUGGUGGCUGGGAACGAUAAUCUUGGACCGGAGGCUGUUCGAGCGCAAUUAAGGGCAUUGGGAAUCCGGGUGCAGAGACGCAGAGUGAGGGACAGCAUGAUUCGUGUUAACCCGAGGGCGGCUGCCCUCAGAGCCAUGUCGCAGAGGCUACAUAGAAGGUCAUACCGUGUUGCUGGACCAAACUUGUUAUGGCACCUUGAUGGAAACCACAAACUGAUAAGGUAGAUGUAUCUUUGUGAUAGACACAAUUAUCUAUAUCACUGGUGAGAAGUUGUAUAUUGUAACAUCUCAAAUUGUUCAUCAACUUGUUCAUCAACAACUAACAGUUCAGUAAGCAAUGGCCCAAUGUCAAUCAUGUGGAUAAUAAUUGUUUUAUUGUGUUUCUGCUACUUCUGUGAACGAUAGAAUAUCUGCAUCAUGAAAUUAACAAACAUGCUUAUAUUGAGGACAUACUUACAUUUACAUUUAAGUCAUUUAGCAGACGCUCUUAUCCAGAGCGACUUAUCCAGAGCGACUUACAAAUUGGAAAGUUCAUACAUAUUCAUCCUGGUCCCCCCGUGGGAAAUGAACCCACAACCCUGCCGUUGCAAGCGCCAUGCUCUACCAACUGAGCCACACGGGACCACGUUUUUGCCACAUACUGAGGCAAAAACGGUUGGAACAAAGUAUUUGUGCCUAAGUGUGAACAACAGGAGAGUCUGUCCUCUUGACUCAUUAACUUGAUUCAUUAACAUUGUUCCACAUUUUGGAUGUUAAUUUAAUAUCUGGUCUGCUGUGCUUUCUGAUUUAGGUGGAGGAUAGUCAUAAAUGGUGGCAUUGAUGGGUGCAGCCGCCUCGUUGUGUUUCUUCGUGCUUCCAGCAACAAUCGCAGCAGUACUGUAAUGGAUUGCUUUGUGAAUUCUGUCUCCAGAUAUGGCGUUCCCUCCAAAGUUAGGACGGACCAUGGAGGAGAAAACAACAUUGUCUGCUUGUUGAAUGUAAUACAUAUUGCAAAUAUUAUUUAAAAAAUAGCGCUACAUGCAUCCUUAAUAUCUUCUUGACCUACACAUUGAUUACAUUCUAUAGUGAGUGAUGCAUGCGGCUACUUUUUUUUUCUGUAAAUCAUUUUCAGAACGCAUUCACAUUAUGUUUGAAAGCUUUAUUGCUUUCUCCAUGUUUUUGAAAUGUAUAAGCCUUUAAAUGACCUUUUACUGACUACUUCUACAAACGAGGCUACACUUGUGGGAGCACCUAUUCCUGUGGCACCACUUCUUGUGGCCCCCCUCCACCUAUACCACUUCCUGUGGCCUCCCCUCCACCUAUACCACUUCCUGUGGCCUCCCCUCCACCAUUCCCUGAGGCUUAUCAUCCAUCUUCACCACACUCUUCUGUUGAUGUUGGUAAUGAUGUUGAACUCCAAACACUGCUGAAGUUAAUGAGAUGCCAACCAAAUUAUCGUGAUGAGGGACAACAUUUAUGAUUGUGCAAUGAGAGGCUUUAAGAGAGCCCGCUUUAAUCCGGAGGCAAAAAUAGACAUGGCUUUUAGGGAUGCUGACGAAAAAGGGGCAGCUGAUGAGGGUGGUCCCUCAAGAGAAUUUCUCCGGCUGCUAAUGAGUGCCAUCCAUUCCUCUGCAAUAUUUGAGGGACCUGAUUGACAAAAAGGCCUUUCUUGCAACUCUCAAGCAACAUGGGGGUGUAGAGCCACAUUUUUUCAGACACUAUACAGGCAAGUGUGUGGCCUACAACCUCCUGUGCCAGAACUGAAAGAAAUUGCGGAAUAUGACUUUAGAGAGAAGUUAAGUACUUUAUACUGUGAUUGGAUGUUAUGUUACUGUUAAUUUGCACAAAAUUUGAACAUUUUUGGGGUUGUAGUUCAUGACAACUUUUCCAUGUGGAUUUGGUUCAUUUUUGUUGGCAGUCAAUCUUUAAGGGUAGUGAUAAUCAGUUUAUUGUUUUGCUAAUUUGUCCCAAAACACAGUUCAAUAAACAAUCUAAGAUCCAGUUAACACAAACUGUUGACGAGGCAGAGGAAGUGGUCACGUUGGGUCCAGUGCGAUACAUUCGUACAUUGGAGAGGGAUGCCCUGGUGGAGUCAGCCACAAAGUUCUACUUAGAAAGCAGGAUGCGGGAUCCUCUUGAGUAGUGUUUCCAUAUAUCUAAGGAAUCUCAAGUUUAGUUAAAUUCUUCAGGGCAAAUUCAUAGACUUAUUUUUACUUUAUAGAUUCAAAGAGGGUCUGGAGUGUCUAGGUCUCCUGCCUUACAUGAAUAGACACUCAAGCCUCUUCAGAGAGGUUUUCAUCUACGCUGAGAAACCUAUUUUGGACAAAGACAUAGCUUCUCUCUUCAAAGCAGAGCACUCCCCACCUGGUACCAAUCAAAGAGCAAUAGAGAGAAGAGUAAUAUAUUUCUGGAGGGACUGACUUCUGGAGGUGGAAGGGGGGAACACAUACCCUUUAACCAUGGAGGUUUUCAUUUUCACUUCGGGGGCUUCAGCAUUCCUAGGCUGGGAUUGCCAGUGGAGCCACAGCUACAGUUCUCUGCAACCGCACGGCAAGCGGUACCAGAGCGCCAAGUAUAGGUCCAAGAGGCUUCUAAACAGAUUCUACCCCCAAGCCAUAAGACUACUGAACAUCUAAUCAAAUGACUACCCAGACUAUUGCUGCUUAUCUAUGCAUAGUCACUUUAAUAUCUCUACCUACAUGUGUAUAUUAACUUGACUAACCAGUGCCCCCGCACAUUCUCUGUACCGGUAUCCCCUGUAUAUAGGCUCGCUAUUGUUAUUUUACUGAUGGUCUUUAAUUAUUUACUUUUCUUGUAACUGCAUUGUUGGUUAAGGGCUUGUAAGUAAGCAUUUCACUGUAAGGUCUACACCUGUUGUAUUUGGCGCAUGUGACAAAUACAAUUUGAUUUAAAGAAUUCAUAUAAGGGGAAUUAUCCAAAACGUUUAUUGCAUGACCACCUAGUGAGUUCGGAAUACUGCAGCCAAUGUUAAUUGAUAUUAUGAAAGUUUCCGACAGGAUUGUCCAUCAGCAAAAAAAAGUUGUCAUGUUUUAAAACUUUCACUAAACAACUAACCAGAAUCAUUUGGACAGGUAUACAUAAUGCAGCUUUAAUAUUUAAAUAAGUUUAUGAUUUCUUAGUGGGUAAACUGAGCAUUAUGUAAAGUAGUUUAGCCAUGUAUGUCAAGGGACUGUUACAAUAUGUGCAAUGUUACAUAAAUAAAUCUUACAGUAAAUAUG
Salvelinus fontinalis (brook trout) is the source of this 3450-nucleotide long non-coding RNA. RefSeq lists it as uncharacterized. Lineage: Eukaryota; Metazoa; Chordata; Actinopteri; Salmoniformes; Salmonidae. The record is from RefSeq and is a predicted model, not a curated record. The transcript is spliced from 5 exons.